AAGCCAUGAUGAGGACACUCCCUGUACUAGUCUUUGAACCUCUCCCAAGCAUCAUGGAAAGACUCCGUACCACCUUGCUGAAAGGUAGUGAUCUUAUUCCUCAGGAG
Capsella rubella is the source of this 107-nucleotide small nucleolar RNA. It matches the Rfam family "Plant small nucleolar RNA R71". Rfam says of the family: R71 is a member of the C/D box family of snoRNAs containing the C (UGAUGA) and D (CUGA) box motifs. Multiple nearly identical copies of this snoRNA have been identified in Arabidopsis, and it is thought to function as a 2'-O-ribose methylation guide for 18S ribosomal RNA. Lineage: Eukaryota; Viridiplantae; Streptophyta; Magnoliopsida; Brassicales; Brassicaceae. The record is from Rfam.